GGGAAACUGCCUGAUGGAGGGGGAUAACUACUGGAAACGGUAGCUAAUACCGCAUAACGUCGCAAGACCAAAGGAGGGGGACCUUCGGGCCUCUUGCCAUCGGAUGUGCCCAGAUGGGAUUAGCUUGUUGGUGGGGUAACGGCUCACCAAGGCGACGAUCCCUAGCUGGUCUGAGAGGAUGACCAGCCACACUGGAACUGAGACACGGUCCAGACUCCUACGGGAGGCAGCAGUGGGGAAUAUUGCACAAUGGGCGCAAGCCUGAUGCAGCCAUGCCGCGUGUAUGAAGAAGGCCGUUCGGGUUAGUAAAGUACUUUCAGGCGGGGAGGAAGGGAGUAAAGUUAAUACCUUUGCUCAUUGACGUUACCCGCAGAAGAAGCACCGGCUAACUCCGUGCCAGCAGCGGC
This 407-nucleotide ribosomal RNA is filed under the name uncultured bacterium. RNAcentral describes it as "bacterial SSU rRNA". It matches the Rfam family "Bacterial small subunit ribosomal RNA", at positions 120 to 518 of the family's 1533-position model. The record is from RNAcentral.